Molecule: ribosomal RNA, 253 nt
Filed under: uncultured Dehalogenimonas sp.
Lineage: Bacteria; Bacillati; Chloroflexota; Dehalococcoidia; Dehalococcoidales; Dehalococcoidaceae
Description: partial 16S ribosomal RNA
Rfam family: Bacterial small subunit ribosomal RNA
Source: RNAcentral
UACGUAGGAAGCAAGCGUUAUCCGGAUUUACUGGGCGUAAAGUGGACGUAGGCGGCCUUUCAAGUCGGAUGUGAAAUCUCCUGGCUUAACCGGGAGGGGUCAUCCGAUACUGUUGGGCUAGAGGGCAGCAGGGGAAGGUGGAAUUCCCGGUGUAGUGGUGAAAUGCGUAGAUAUCGGGAGGAACACCAGUGGCGAAGGCGGCCUUCCAGGCUGUUUCUGACGCUGAGGUCCGAAAGUGUGGGGAGCGAACAGG